CCUACGGGUGGCAGCAGUGAGGAAUAUUGGUCAAUGGGCGGGAGCCUGAACCAGCCAAGUCGCGUGAGGGAAGACGGUCCUAUGGAUUGUAAACCUCUUUAGGCGGGGAGCAAUGCCGGGCACGUGUGCCCGGAGGGAGAGUACCCGCAGAAUAAGCAUCGGCUAACUCCGUGCCAGCAGCCGCGGUAACACGGGGGAUGCGAGCUUUAUCCGGAGUUAUCGGGUUUAAAGGGUGCGUAGGCGGAUUUUUAUGUCAGCGGUAAAAGGUCCGGGCUCAACCCGGGGCGGCCGUUGAAACUGGGGAUCUUGAGUGGGCGAGAAGUAUGCGGAAUGCGUGGUGUAGCGGUGAAAUGCAGAGAUAUCACGCAGAACGCCGAUUGCGAAGGCAGCAUACCGGCGCCCAACUGACGCUGAGGCACGAAAGCGUGGGGAGCGAACAGGAUUAGAUACCCGAGUAGUC
This 460-nucleotide ribosomal RNA is filed under the name uncultured bacterium. Its description in RNAcentral is "partial 16S ribosomal RNA". It matches the Rfam family "Bacterial small subunit ribosomal RNA", at positions 338 to 795 of the family's 1533-position model. The record is from RNAcentral.